CAGCAACAGCAAAUUUCAGGCCCAUGGUAGUCCCAAGUACCAUAAUUUCCAGAACUGCAUUGAUCUGAUUCCCUUUUAGACAGGGAUAUGUAGGAAACCUUUGAAGCAAAGGUUCGGUUAAUCUUUUUCAAAAAAAAAUGCUUCGCACGGAGUAUUCCAACGGGCAAAAAGUCGCUCGUAUCCGCUCACUUUAUCUUUGCACGAAAACUCUUCGUGUUUCCGGACGAAGAGGGGUAGCUGUGAGCACGUGAUUUUUGCCCUAUAUGAGAAUUACUCCAAAAAAAUUCAAAAUAAAAUAAUUUCGUUUGUUUGCAAUUGUUGUGAAUUUUCUGUAUUGUUUGGAUUUGUUCGUGCAUGUUGUUACGCCUCCUUUUUCACUAUACACCCCCGCAAAGGGUCGUAAAGGAGUUUUUCCACUUAAAGGACAAUCAGAACGGGAUUUGGUUAUUAUUUAUUUAGAGUCGCCACUUGGGAGAUUAAUUGUGUCCCAAGUCACCGAUUUGAAUCCCAACCGAGAAAGAUUAUGACUCUGUUAACAGUCCGCGAACCAGAAAUCCGGAUAAGGAAUUCUGUUAACUCGGGAGAAGGUGUUAGGUUUUAUCCCGAACCGAGGAAAAAUAUGACUCUGUUAACAGUCCGUGAACCAGAAAUCUGAGUAAGGAAUUCUGUUAACCCGAGAGAAGGUGUUAGGUACGCCCGGGUUCCGUGGUUCUAGCACGGUCGCUUAACUAUUGCAUUUGAUUUUAUCUGAUUUUAAUACAUGCUAGUUUAUGUGCCUUUUAUUUAUAAACCGUUUUUACCAUUAUUUAUUUAAAAGACUUGCGACAUCGUGAAAACGUAUUUCUAGUCACGUCACCACCAGUGUACACGUGAUCGUCGACACGUUUCGACUUCGUCGAGAUUUGGAUUUGGGUCGCAUCAAUGCACACCCGAGUUUAAGAAAGUAAUUUAAUUAAAACGCGCCUAAAGAUUCUAGCGCAAUAUUAUUUUGGGAAAGGCCGCGAAAUUCGCUAAACGGCCCUCCCGAAUUCUACGUAAUUUUAUUUAUCCAUUAUUGAGGGCUCCGCAUUUAUAUUUUUAUUUGGUGAGGCACACCUCUAAUUCUAAGGAUAAGCAAAAUUAAUAGCUAACUAAUGGAUUUUAAAACGAAACCGAAAAUGAUAGAAUAAUGAACGCAAAGAAAUGGAAACACAUUCACGAAACUUCAACGCCACACUAUCGUAACUAACCUUCUUUCCAAAUUGUUAAACAAACAGAAGCAAAUUAAUUACUCAAGAUCCCAUGUCCAACCUCAGAUAACUAAUUGUGAGCUCAUUUACCAAGUUACCUUGUUUAAGAUACAAAUUCUAUUCAAAAUAAAUUUCACGCAGAAGAAGAAAAUUACCAAAUGUUUAAUCACUAAUAGGAUAAUACAAAAACAAAGGUAAUUAAGGAAUCAGACCAUUUGUGAAGUCAGAAUCGAUUCUCCAAUUGAUUGAAUACAGAAAACUCAUUGAAUAGAGCUGUAUAAUGAGACAAAUGCCGAACAAGAGCUUCGAGCUAACGAAUCCAACAAACCGAACACAGCGGCGGCCAAAAUGAGCAUCGAGCAAGCUCAAACAACAGGAACCUUCAGCCGAAGAGACUCCUACGUCGACCUCGGCGAACUCGAAACUCGCCGACACCGAAAACUCGGAUCUCAACACAAACGAUCGGAGCUUCAGACGGAUUUAACCAAACGAGCUCCAAAAAUAGACUCUACCUCAAACGACAAACUCUUCUUCUUCUUUUUUCAAUCCGGAUCCCUACUUUACAAUUGUUAUUGACAGCAUAAGUGUGUGUGAAUAAGAACGAAUGCAAUCCUUCUGUUGGGAAUUCAAUGUAGAAAUCGUCAGUUUUUUUUUUUUUUUUUGGGUUUUUUUCUGUUGGGAAUUCAAUGUAGAAAUCGUCAGUUUUUUUUUUUUUUUUUGCGUUUUUGCUUUUCUAUUUCGUCCGUGACUUUUGUUUUUAUUUUUUUUGUGUAUUUUUUUUGUU
This 2013-nucleotide long non-coding RNA is filed under the name Nicotiana benthamiana. RNAcentral describes it as "long non-coding RNA (NBEN_LNC029550)". Lineage: Eukaryota; Viridiplantae; Streptophyta; Magnoliopsida; Solanales; Solanaceae. The record is from RNAcentral.